AGAGUUUGAUCAUGGCUCAGAAUCAACGCUGGCGGCGCGCCUAACACAUGCAAGUCGAACGAGAAAGUGGAGCAAUCCAUGAGUAAAGUGGCGUACGGGUGAGUAACACGUGGAUAACCUGCCCUCCAGUGGGGAAUACCGUUGGGAAACCGACGACAAUACCGCAUAAGCUCGAGAGAGGAAAGCAGCAAUGCGCUGGAGGAGGGGUCCGCGGCCGAUUAGCUUGUUGGUAGGGUAAUGGCCUACCAAGGCUUUGAUCGGUAGCCGGCCUGAGAGGGCACACGGCCACACUGGCACUGAAACACGGGCCAGACUCCUACGGGAGGCAGCAGUGGGGAAUCUUGCACAAUGGGGGAAACCCUGAUGCAGCGACGCCGCGUGAGCGAUGAAGCCCUUCGGGGUGUAAAGCUCUUUCGGCAGGGAAGAUUAUGACGGUACCUGCAGAAGCAGCUGCGGCUAACUACGUGCCAGCAGCCGCGGUAAUACGUAGGCAGCAAGCGUUGUUCGGAGUUACUGGGCGUAAAGGGUGCGCAGGCGGUCCUGUAAGUAUGGUGUGAAAUCUCCCGGCUUAACUGGGAGGGUGCGCUAUAAACUGCGGGACUAGAGUGUGGGAGAGGAAAGUGGAAUUCCUGGUGUAGCGGUGAAAUGCGUAGAUAUCAGGAGGAACACCGGUGGUGCAAACGGCUUUCUGGACCAUAACUGACGCUGAGGCACGAAAGCGUGGGUAGCAAACAGGAUUAGAUACCCUAGUAGUCC
Molecule: ribosomal RNA, 756 nt
Filed under: uncultured bacterium
Lineage: Bacteria
Description: bacterial SSU rRNA
Rfam family: Bacterial small subunit ribosomal RNA
Source: RNAcentral